This 504-nucleotide ribosomal RNA is filed under the name uncultured bacterium. RNAcentral describes it as "bacterial SSU rRNA". It matches the Rfam family "Bacterial small subunit ribosomal RNA", at positions 38 to 518 of the family's 1533-position model. The record is from RNAcentral.
GGCGGCGUGCCUAAGUACAUGCAAGUCGAGCGGACCUGAUGGAGUGCUUGCACUCCUGAUGGUAGCGGCGGACGGGUGAGUAACACGUAGGCAACCUGGCUCGUAAGACCGGGAUAACUACCGGAAACGGUAGCUAAUACCGGAUAAUCAAGUCUCUCGCAUGGGAGGCUUGGGAAAGCGGAGCAAUCUGUCACUUACGGAUGGGCCUGCGGCGCAUUAGCUAGUUGGUGGGGUAACGGCUACACCAAGGCGACGAUGCGUAGCCGACCUGAGAGGGUGAACGGCCACACUGGGACUGAGACACGGCCCAGACUCCUACGGGAGGCAGCAGUAGGGAAUCUUCCGCAAGUGGACGAAAGUCUGACGGAGCAACGCCGCGUGAAGUGAUGAAGGUUUUCGGAUCGUAAAGCUCUGUUGCCAGGGAAGAACGUCCUGUAGAGUAACUGCUACAGGAGUGACGGUACCUGAGAAGAAAGCCCCGGCUAACUACGUGCCAGCCGCCGC